This 515-nucleotide ribosomal RNA is filed under the name Marginella constricta. RNAcentral describes it as "partial 12S ribosomal RNA". It matches the Rfam family "Bacterial small subunit ribosomal RNA", at positions 596 to 1346 of the family's 1533-position model. The record is from RNAcentral. Lineage: Eukaryota; Metazoa; Mollusca; Gastropoda; Neogastropoda; Marginellidae.
UAAACCACUAGACAUAGUCAUANNNUUGACGGUAUAAGGCAGUUAGGUAUGAGUUAAAAUGUUGUUAUAAAAUUUCUUUAUGAGGGUGUGAAAUAUGCCAUAAAGAGGGAUUCUUAAGGUGUCAUAUAUUAUUGAGGCUGCGAAAAUUUUAGGAGAGACUGGGAUUAGAUACCCCAUUAUUUUCAAUCGUAAAUUGGUUAGACUCUCAUCUACCAGGGUACUACAAACCAUACGUUUAAAAUCUAAAGAACUUGGCGGUGUUUCANACAUAUUAGGGGAACUUGUCUCAUAAUCGAUGAUCCACGUUGUACCUGACCUAAGCUGGCUCUCAGUUUGUAUAUCGUUGUCACAAGUAAGCCUACGUUCGAGAGGCCUAGGCUAGCGAACUCUGAAGGUUUCAAAGCAGAUCAAGAUGCAACUUACGCUUAGGGGAGGAUGAGUUACAAUUGUUAUNANGCAGUGUUGAGAUAGUGAAAUGAAAUUUUUCUUUGGAGGUGAACUUAAAAGUAAAUUAG